RNAcentral lists this long non-coding RNA (412 nucleotides) under Ananas comosus (pineapple). Its description in RNAcentral is "long non-coding RNA (ACOM_LNC003701)". Lineage: Eukaryota; Viridiplantae; Streptophyta; Magnoliopsida; Poales; Bromeliaceae. The record is from RNAcentral.
AUAUUCAUGAUAUUCUUCAUGGUGGCGUCGUGGAUUCGGCGUAUUUGACGGCGGUUCGUGGAUUCGGAUCGGGGGCUCGUGGAUUCGAGUAGCGUCGUGGAUUCGGCGUGAUUGAAGCUUCGUGGAUUCGAAGUGGAGGCGUUCGUGGAUUCGGACGUGAGGCGUGGACAACCCGAAGGGUAGCGCGAAGAUUCAUAGGAGGUUAAAAGAGGUUUAGUCCGUGGAGUCGGUAAUCACCUUGUAAUCUUUUCUCUUAGUGAAUUAUUUUUUCGCGUGUUGGUCCCGUAGGUUUUUCUCCAAGUUGGAGUUUUCCCACGUAAAUCUCGAUGUGCUUUUUAUUUUCCGCAUUUAUUUUUAUUGCAUCGAGAUUUGUGGUUUUUGGCCGUUCACCUAUUCCCCCCCCCUCUAGGUG